CAGUCGCCACGGUAAUACGUAGGGUGCAAGCGUUAAUCGGAAUUACUGGGCGUAAAGCGUGCGCAGGCGGUUAUAUAAGACAGAUGUGAAAUCCCCGGGCUCAACCUGGGAACUGCAUUUGUGACUGUAUAGCUAGAGUACGGCAGAGGGGGAUGGAAUUCCGCGUGUAGCAGUGAAAUGCGUAGAUAUGCGGAGGAACACCGAUGGCGAAGGCAAUCACCUGGGCCUGUACUGACGCUCAUGCACGAAAGCGUGGGGAGCAAACAGGAUUAGAUACCCCCGUAGUCCCUGUCUCUUAUAC
This 301-nucleotide ribosomal RNA is filed under the name uncultured bacterium. Its description in RNAcentral is "partial 16S ribosomal RNA". It matches the Rfam family "Bacterial small subunit ribosomal RNA", at positions 509 to 807 of the family's 1533-position model. The record is from RNAcentral.